AGAGUUUGAUCAUGGCUCAGAACGAACGUUGGCGGCGUGGAUUAGGCAUGCAAGUCGGGGGAAUCCCAGCAAUGGGGGAACCGGCGUAAGGGGCAGUAAGGCAUGGGUACCUACCCUGAAGUUCGGGAUAGCCAUCAGAGAUGGUGGGUAAUACCGGAUGAUGUCGUGAGACCAAAGAUUUAUCGCUUUGGGAGGGGCCCAUGUGAUAUUAGCUAGUUGGUGAGGUAAUGGCUCACCAAGGCUAAGAUGUCUAGCGGGUAUGAGAGUACGACCCGCGCCACUCGCACUGAGACACUGGCGAGACACCUACGGGUGGCUGCAGUCGAGGAUCUUCGGCAAUGGGCGAAAGCCUGACCGAGCGACGCCGCGUGCGCGAUGAAGGCCUUCGGGUUGUAAAGCGCUUUAGUGGGGGAGAAAGGGGUAAAACCUUGAUCUAUCCCAAAAAUAAGCUCGGGCUAAGUUCGUGCCAGCAGCCGCGGUAAGACGAACCGAGCGAACGUUGUUCGGAAUCACUGGGCUUAAAGGGCGCGUAGGCGGGCUGUCAAGUCUGGGGUGAAAUCCCACGGCUCAACCGUGGAACUGCCUUAGAUACUGACGGCCUCGAGGGAGAUAGGGGCGAGCGGAACUGUGAGUGGAGCGGUGAAAUGCGUUGAUAUUCACAGGAACUCCGGUGGCGAAGGCGGCUCGCUGGAUCUUUUCUGACGCUGAGGCGCGAAAGCUAGGGGAGCAAACGGGAUUAGAUACCCCGGUAGUCCUAGCCCUAAACGUUGGGUACUGGGUAGUAGACUAGACAUGGGUUUACUGCCGCAGCAAAAGUGCUAAGUACCCCGCCUGGGGAGUAUGGUCGCAAGGCUGAAACUCAAAGGAAUUGACGG
RNAcentral lists this ribosomal RNA (875 nucleotides) under uncultured bacterium. RNAcentral's name for it is "bacterial SSU rRNA". It matches the Rfam family "Bacterial small subunit ribosomal RNA", at positions 8 to 916 of the family's 1533-position model. The record is from RNAcentral.